Molecule: ribosomal RNA, 134 nt
Filed under: uncultured archaeon
Lineage: Archaea
Description: partial 16S ribosomal RNA
Rfam family: Archaeal small subunit ribosomal RNA
Source: RNAcentral
CCGCGAAAACUUCGCAAUGUGGGAAACCACGACGAGGGAAUCCCUAGUGCCUAUGCUAUGCAUAGGCUGUUUCCCUGUCUAAAAAGCAGGGAGAGUAAGGGCUGGGUAAGACGGGUGCCAGCCGCCGCGGUAAA